RNAcentral lists this ribosomal RNA (205 nucleotides) under Clostridioides difficile. RNAcentral's name for it is "partial 23S ribosomal RNA". It matches the Rfam family "Bacterial large subunit ribosomal RNA", at positions 1966 to 2170 of the family's 2925-position model. The record is from RNAcentral. Lineage: Bacteria; Bacillati; Bacillota; Clostridia; Peptostreptococcales; Peptostreptococcaceae.
UCCUUGUCGGGUAAGUUCCGACCCGCACGAAAGGCGUAACGAUUUGGGCACUGUCUCAACAACAGACUCGGUGAAAUUGUAAUUCCGGUGAAGAUGCCGGAUGCCUGCGACAGGACGGAAAGACCCCAUGGAGCUUUACUGUAGCUUGACAUUGGGUCUUGGUACUACAUGUACAGGAUAGGUGGGAGGCUUUGAAACCAGGACG